Balaenoptera acutorostrata (minke whale) is the source of this 73-nucleotide non-coding RNA. Lineage: Eukaryota; Metazoa; Chordata; Mammalia; Artiodactyla; Balaenopteridae. The record is from the annotation of a RefSeq genome assembly.
UCCCCAGUGGUCCAGUGGGUAAGACUCUGUGCUCACAACGCAGGGGGCCCGGGUUCGAUCCCUGGUCGGGGAA